Long non-coding RNA from Clupea harengus (Atlantic herring), 609 nucleotides. The record is from Ensembl. NCBI's taxonomy places the organism in Eukaryota, Metazoa, Chordata, Actinopteri, Clupeiformes, Clupeidae.
UGAAAGGGGGGUGGAAUAUGUUCAGGACACUCCAAACAUUAAAUAAAAUGUGUGAAGUAGUUGAGAUCUACGUCCCUGAAUGCUCCACAAUACUUUAAACAUAGGUGAUCAGACAGGCGAAAAUGCAUUAGCUUCAAUGGUAGGGCCAUGUGACAUGUAUCACUCUUUGCUGAAAAAACUAAAGAUUGUGUCUCAAUGAAAGGGGGGUGGAAUAUGUUCAGGACACUCCAAACAUUAAAUAAAAUGUGUGAAGUAGUUGAGAUUUACGUCCCUGAAUGCUCCACAAUACUUUAAACAUAGGCCUACACACAGGCGGAAAUGCAUUGUCUUCAAUUGUAGGGCCAUGUGAUACCUAUGACACUUUGCUGAUGAAACUAAAGAUUGUGUCUCAAUGAAAGGGGGGUGGAAUAUGUUCAGGACACUCCAAACAUUAAAUAAAAUGUGUGAAGUAGUUGAGAUUUACCUCCCUGAAUGCUCCACAAUACUUUAAACAUAGGCCUACACACAGGCGAAAAUGCAUUAUCUUCAAUGGCAGGGCCAUGUGACAUGUAUCACUCUUUGCUGAAAAAACUAAAGAUUGUGUCUCAAUGAAAGGGGGGUGGAAUAUGU